UACAGAGGGUGCGAGCGUUAAUCGGAAUUACUGGGCGUAAAGGGCGCGUAGGCGGUUAUGUAAGUUGGAUGUGAAAUACUCGGGCUUAACCUGAGCUGUGCAUCUGAUACUGCAUGACUAGAGUCGUGUAGAGGGGUGUGGAAUUUCCGGUGUAGCGGUGAAAUGCGUAGAUAUCGGAAAGAACACCGGUGGCGAAGGCGGCACCCUGGACACAGACUGACGCUGAGGCGCGAAAGCGUGGGUAGCAAACAGG
Molecule: ribosomal RNA, 253 nt
Filed under: uncultured bacterium
Lineage: Bacteria
Description: partial 16S ribosomal RNA
Rfam family: Bacterial small subunit ribosomal RNA
Source: RNAcentral